Passer montanus (Eurasian tree sparrow) is the source of this 464-nucleotide long non-coding RNA. RefSeq lists it as uncharacterized. The record is from RefSeq and is a predicted model, not a curated record. The transcript has 3 exons. NCBI's taxonomy places the organism in Eukaryota, Metazoa, Chordata, Aves, Passeriformes, Passeridae.
AGUCAGAGCUGCAAGUGUCAGGCCAGGCCAGCUGGAAAUCCACACAGCAAAUGGUUCAGUUCAGAGCCUCUGUGUCUUGCAGAAAGAAGAGAGAAGAGGAUAUUCUUCAUUUUAGGAAGCCCUUUUCCCUUUAGAAAGCUCUCCCUCUCUCUGUGCCUUCCAUGAGGCAGAAAUGUUUGCUUUGACCCUUGAGCAACAUUUUCUUCAGGAUGCAGGUGUACAAUUUUCAGCUUCUGUCACCCUAAACAACUAAUUGUAACUCACCUUUGACACCACAACAAGGAAUAUUUGCUGAAUUAAAACUGUACAGAGCAGCUGUUGUCCAACAGGCAAACAUUUUUUUCAGCUCCCCCCUGAAGCUGUCAUGGAGCCAGGCAUAGAGGAAGGCAUUGGUACAAGCAGACAUCAUUGCAAACCAGUGACACAGCAGCUGGAUGAAGUUGAAGUACUGCUUGUCAAUCAAG